This 497-nucleotide ribosomal RNA is filed under the name uncultured bacterium. RNAcentral's name for it is "partial 16S ribosomal RNA". It matches the Rfam family "Bacterial small subunit ribosomal RNA", at positions 28 to 507 of the family's 1533-position model. The record is from RNAcentral.
GACGAACGCUGGCGGCGUGCCUAAUACAUGCAAGUAGAACGCUGAAGCGAGGAGCUUGCUCUUCUUGGAUGAGUUGCGAACGGGUGAGUAACGCGUAGGUAACCUGCCUUGUAGCGGGGGAUAACUAUUGGAAACGAUAGCUAAUACCGCAUAACAAUGGAUGACCCAUGUCAUUUAUUUGAAAGGGGCAAAUGCUCCACUACAAGAUGGACCUGCGUUGUAUUAGCUAGUAGGUGAGGUAACGGCUCACCUAGGCGACGAUACAUAGCCGACCUGAGAGGGUGAUCGACCACACUGGGACUGAGACACGGCCCAGACUCCUACGGGAGGCAGCAGUAGGGAAUCUUCGGCAAUGGGGGCAACCCUGACCGAGCAACGCCGCGUGAGUGAAGAAGGUUUUCGGAUCGUAAAGCUCUGUUGUAAGUCAAGAACGAGUGUGAGAGUGGAAAGUUCACACUGUGACGGUAGCCUACCAGAAAGGGACGGCUAACUACGUG